Molecule: small RNA, 17 nt
Filed under: Arabidopsis thaliana (thale cress)
Lineage: Eukaryota; Viridiplantae; Streptophyta; Magnoliopsida; Brassicales; Brassicaceae
Description: ATSL011270
Source: RNAcentral
UUUUGUUGUUGCUGGAA